GACGAACGCUGGCGGCGUGCUUAACACAUGCAAGUCGAACGGAAAGGCCCCUUUGGGGGUACUCGAGUGGCGAACGGGUGAGUAACACGUGAGUAACCUGCCCUUGACUUCGGGAUAACUUCAGGAAACUGGGGCUAAUACCGGAUAGGAAUCCUUGCUGCAUGGUGGGGGUUGGAAAGCUUCGGCGGUUUUGGAUGGACUCGCGGCUUAUCAGCUUGUUGGUGGGGUAGUGGCUUACCAAGGCUUUGACGGGUAGCCGGCCUGAGAGGGCGACCGGCCACAGUGAGUCUGAGAGACGGCCCAGACUCCUACGGGAGGCAGCAGUGGGGAAUAUUGCACGAUGGGCGGAAGCCUGGUGCAGCAACGCCGCGGGCGGGAAGACGGCCUUCGGGUUGUAAACCGCUUUCAGCAGGGGCGAAGCUUGUGGUGACUGUACCUGCAGAAGAAGCACCGGCUAACUACGUG
Molecule: ribosomal RNA, 465 nt
Filed under: uncultured bacterium
Lineage: Bacteria
Description: partial 16S ribosomal RNA
Rfam family: Bacterial small subunit ribosomal RNA
Source: RNAcentral